This 274-nucleotide ribosomal RNA is filed under the name uncultured bacterium. RNAcentral describes it as "partial 16S ribosomal RNA". It matches the Rfam family "Bacterial small subunit ribosomal RNA", at positions 523 to 796 of the family's 1533-position model. The record is from RNAcentral.
AUACGGAGGGUGCAAGCGUUAAUCGGAAUUACUGGGCGUAAAGCGCGCGUAGGCGGCUUGCCAAGUUGGAUGUGAAAGCCCUAGGCUCAACCUGGGAACUGCAUUCAAAACUGGUUGGCUAGAGUACAGUAGAGGUGAGUGGAAUUUCCGGUGUAGCGGUGAAAUGCGUAGAUAUCGGAAGGAACAUCAGUGGCGAAGGCGACUCACUGGGCUGAUACUGACGCUGAGGUGCGAAAGCGUGGGGAGCAAACAGGAUUAGAAACCCGUGUAGUCC